GAUGAACGCUGGCGGCGUGCCUAAUACAUGCAAGUCGAGCGAACGGACGAGAAGCUUGCUCCUCUGACGUUAGCGGCGGACGGGUGAGUAACACGUGGAUAACCUACCUAUAAGACUGGGAUAACUUCGGGAAACCGGAGCUAAUACCGGAUAAUAUAAUGAACCGCAUGGUUCAAUAGUGAAAGACGGUUUUGCUGUCACUUAUAGAUGGAUCCGCGCUGCAUUAGCUAGUUGGUAAGGUAACGGCUUACCAAGGCAACGAUGCGUAGCCGACCUGAGAGGGUGAUCGGCCACACUGGAACUGAGACACGGUCCAGACUCCUACGGGAGGCAGCAGUAGGGAAUCUUCCGCAAUGGGCGAAAGCCUGACGGAGCAACGCCGCGUGAGUGAUGAAGGUCUUCGGAUCGUAAAACUCUGUUAUUAGGGAAGAACAAAUGUGUAAGUAACUAUGCACGUCUUGACGGUACCUAAUCAGAAAGCCACGGCUAACUACGUG
Molecule: ribosomal RNA, 497 nt
Filed under: uncultured bacterium
Lineage: Bacteria
Description: partial 16S ribosomal RNA
Rfam family: Bacterial small subunit ribosomal RNA
Source: RNAcentral